GGAUCCAGACUUUGAUUAUGGCUCAGGAUGAACGCUAGCUACAGGCUUAACACAUGCAAGUCGAGGGGAAACGACAUCGAAAGCUUGCUUUUGAUGGGCGUCGACCGGCGCACGGGUGAGUAACGCGUAUCCAACCUGCCCAUCACUUGGGGAUAACCUUGCGAAAGUAAGACUAAUACCCAAUGACGUCUCUAGAAGACAUCUGAAAGAGAUUAAAGAUUUAUCGGUGAUGGAUUGGGAUGCGUCUGAUUAGCUUGUUGGCGGGGUAACGGCCCACCAAGGCAACGAUCAGUAGGGGUUCUGAGAGGAAGGUCCCCCACAUUGGAACUGAGACACGGUCCAAACUCCUACGGGAGGCAGCAGUGAGGAAUAUUGGUCAAUGGGCGAGAGCCUGAACCAGCCAAGUAGCGUGCAGGAUGACGGCCCUAUGGGUUGUAAACUGCUUUUAUAAGGGAAUAAAGUGAGUCUCGUGAGACUUUUUGCAUGUACCUUAUGAAUAAGGACCGGCUAAUUCCGUGCCAGCAGCCGCGGUAAUACGGAAGGUCCGAGCGUUAUCCGGAUUUAUUGGGUUUAAAGGGAGCGUAGGCCGGAGAUUAAGCGUGUUGUGAAAUGUAGACGCUCAACGUCUGCACUGCUGCGCGAACUGGUUUCCUUGAGUACGCACAAAGUGGGCGGAAUUCGUGGUGUAGCGGUGAAAUGCUUAGAUAUCACGAAGAACUCCGAUUGCGAAGGCAGCUCACUGGAGCGCAACUGACGCUGAAGCUCGAAAGUGCGGGUAUCGAACAGGAUUAGAUACCCUGGUAGUCCGCACGGUAAACGAUGGAUGCCCGCUGUUGGUCUGAAUAGGUCAGCGGCCAAGCGAAAGCAUUAAGCAUCCCACCUGGGGAGUACGCCGGCAACGGUGCAACUCAA
RNAcentral lists this ribosomal RNA (912 nucleotides) under uncultured Bacteroidota bacterium. Its description in RNAcentral is "bacterial SSU rRNA". It matches the Rfam family "Bacterial small subunit ribosomal RNA", at positions 1 to 904 of the family's 1533-position model. Lineage: Bacteria; Pseudomonadati; Bacteroidota. The record is from RNAcentral.